This 321-nucleotide ribosomal RNA is filed under the name uncultured eukaryote. RNAcentral describes it as "partial 18S ribosomal RNA". It matches the Rfam family "Eukaryotic small subunit ribosomal RNA", at positions 1470 to 1796 of the family's 1831-position model. The record is from RNAcentral.
CCCUUAGAUGUUCUGGGCUGCACGCGCGCUACACUGAAGCGUUCAACGAGUAUUCACCUUGCCCGGGAGGGUUGGGUAAUCUUUUGAAAACGCUUCGUGAUGGGGAUAGAUUAUUGCAAUUAUUAAUCUUCAACGAGGAAUUCCUAGUAAGCGCGAGUCAUCAGCUCGUGCUGAUUACGUCCCUGCCCUUUGUACACACCGCCCGUCGCACCUACCGAUUGAAUGGUCCGGUGAAAUCUCGGGACGGCGGCUUGGUCGCUUGCGUCCGACUGCUGAAACUUGAUUAAACCAUAUCAUUUAGAGGAAGGUGAAGUCGUAACA